RNAcentral lists this ribosomal RNA (537 nucleotides) under Alexandrium tamarense. RNAcentral describes it as "partial Eukaryotic large subunit ribosomal RNA". It matches the Rfam family "Eukaryotic large subunit ribosomal RNA", at positions 660 to 1208 of the family's 3401-position model. Lineage: Eukaryota; Dinophyceae; Gonyaulacales; Pyrocystaceae. The record is from RNAcentral.
CACGGACCAAGGAGUCUCACAUAUGUGCGAGUAUAGGGGUGGCAAACCCCCAUGCGUAAUGAAAGUAACAGUGGUGGGACCUUUGGGCACCAUCCGCCGGCCUCUUGACUUCGGUCUAUCGGUCUGAGUGUGAGCAUACAUGUUGGGACCCGAAAGAUGGUGAACUAUGCCUGAAUAGGGUGAAGCCAGGGGAAACCCUGGUGGAGGCUCGUAGCGAUUCUGACGUGCAAAUCGAUCGUCAAAUUUGGGUAUAGGGGCGAAAGACUAAUCGAACUAUCUAGUAGCUGGUUCCCUCCGAAGUUUCCCUCAGGAUAGCUGGAGCUUGUGCAGUUUUAUCGGGUAAAGCGAAUGAUUAGAGGUUUGGGGGCUGAAACAGCCUUCGCCUAUUCUCAAACUUUAAAUAGGUAAGCUCUGGGUUACUUAAUUGAACCUAGGGGUGUAAUGAGAGCUCCAUGUGGGCCAUUUUUGGUAAGCAGAACUGGCGAUGCGGGAUGAACCGAAAGCCGGGUUAAAGUGCCAAACUGCGCGCUAACCUAG